This 793-nucleotide ribosomal RNA is filed under the name uncultured archaeon. RNAcentral describes it as "bacterial SSU rRNA". It matches the Rfam family "Archaeal small subunit ribosomal RNA", at positions 85 to 879 of the family's 1478-position model. The record is from RNAcentral.
ACUGCUCAGUAACACGUGGACAACCUGCCCUUAGGUUGGGUAUAAACCCGGGAAACUGGGUAUAAUACCCGAUAGGUCUCGAUUGCUGGAAUGCAUCGAGAUUUAAAGCUCCGGCGCCUAAGGAUGGGUCUGCGGCCUAUCAGGUAGUAGUGGGUGUAGCGUACCUACUAGCCUACGACGGGUACGGGUUGUGAGAGCAAGAGCCCGGAGAUGGAUUCUGAGACACGAAUCCAGGCCCUACGGGGUGCAGCAGGCGCGAAGACUUUACAAUGCUGGCAACAGCGAUAAGGGAACCUCGAGCGCCAGGUUACAAAUCUGGCUGUCGAGAUGCCUAAAAAGCAUUUCAUAGCAAGGGCCGGGCAAGACCGGUGCCAGCCGCCGCGGUAACACCGGCGGCUCGAGUGGUAACCGUUAUUAUUGGGUCUAAAGGGUCUGUAGCCGGCCGGAUAAGUCUCUUGAGAAAUCUGGCAGCUUAACUGUCAGGCUUUCAGGAGAUACUGUCUGGCUCGAGGCCGGGAGAGGUGAGAGGUACUUCAGGGGUAGGGGUGAAAUCUUGUAAUCCUUGAAGGACCACCAGUGGCGAAGGCGUCUCACCAGAACGGACCUGACGGCAAGGGACGAAAGCUAGGGGCACGAACCGGAUUAGAUACCCGGGUAGUCCUAGCCGUAAACGAUACUCGCUAGGUGUCGGCCACGGUGCGACCGUUGUCGGUGCCGUAGGGAAGCCGUGAAGCGAGCCACCUGGGAAGUACGGCCGCACGGCUGAAACUUAAAGGAAUUGGCGGGGGAGCAC